RNAcentral lists this ribosomal RNA (374 nucleotides) under uncultured organism. Its description in RNAcentral is "partial 16S ribosomal RNA". It matches the Rfam family "Bacterial small subunit ribosomal RNA", at positions 527 to 896 of the family's 1533-position model. The record is from RNAcentral.
GUAGGUGGCAAGCGUUGUCCGGAAUUAUUGGGCGUAAAGCGCGCGCAGGCGGUUCUUUAAGUCUGAUGUGAAAGCCCACGGCUCAACCGUGGAGGGUCAUUGGAAACUGGAGAACUUGAGUGCAGAAGAGGAAAGCGGAAUUCCACGUGUAGCGGUGAAAUGCGUAGAGAUGUGGAGGAACACCAGUGGCGAAGGCGGCUUUCUGGUCUGUAACUGACGCUGAGGCGCGAAAGCGUGGGGAGCAAACAGGAUUAGAUACCCUGGUAGUCCACGCCGUAAACGAUGAGUGCUAAGUGUUGGGGGGGUUUUCCGCCCCCCUUAGUGCUGCAGCUAACGCAUUAAGCACUCCGCCUGGGAGUACGGCCGCAAGGCUG